Molecule: long non-coding RNA, 1354 nt
Filed under: Homo sapiens (human)
Lineage: Eukaryota; Metazoa; Chordata; Mammalia; Primates; Hominidae
Description: HSALNT0291837
Source: RNAcentral
CGGGUGCUUCAGGGUCCGAGAACCUGCAGAAGUUCACACUUAAAUCCUACACGAGAGUCGUAUUUAUGAUGCAGAACUCGGGAAAAUGAGGUUGAAAAGGGUGAAUGAAUUCCUUAAGGUCAAGAAAAAGGAUCGGUAUUCAAACCUGCCUAUCUGGAAGAUAAGCUUAGACUGCCCUACAGGAGGCACUGUGGCUUAUCCCCUUGGGGCUUUAAAGAUGUGAGGACCUUAGAGAUCCAUUAGUCUAACCUGUGCGUGGUGCAGCCUCCCCACCCCGACAACAAAUCCAUAUUUUACAGAUGGAGAAACGGAGGCCCAGGGAAGGGAUGUGCCCGAGGUCAUACAAAGAAGUUUGUGGGAAUCCAGGUCUGACUCGCACUCAAUCUAGUGCUCUAAUAAUGACUUGAGUGAAUUGUAUGAAUGUGCUCAGAGGUGGAGCAGCAAUCAUAAAAGUAAUAAUGGUACCAUUUAUGGACCAUCUAACUACUGUGUUAAAACAAUUUACAGGCCAUGCGCGGUGGCUCACGCUUGUAAUCCCAGCACUUUGGGAGGCCGAGGCGGGCAGAUCACGAAGUCAGAAGAUCGAGACCAUCCUGGCUAACACGGGACUCAAGACUGGAAUGGGAAGAGCAUGAAAUUGAGCUGUCUAUCCCCCUGGAUCUCUCAUUGCCACCUGCCCAUAGGUUGGCUGCACCCCUCCACCAAAGAAAGGCCAUGACUCCUUCCUGGCAGCCCUGUCUUACAGCUACUCUCUGGUGAUCUGGGAACCACUCCCUCCCUUACCCCUUGAUGCCUAGGGCUAGUGCCAGCACCUUGUUGUUGUUAGCCUCAGAGGCACUUGCACUGUUCCUUGAUGGUUUUCCCAAAUCUUGCCCUCAUCUUUGUAAAUACUGUUUGCCGUUUAUUACACUGUCAUCAUAUUACCCAAUUUGAGUGUGUCAUCUAUUUCUUCCAAGACCCUGACUGAUACAGUGGGUAUAUUUGGAGCCAGAAAAAACAAUGACAACAAAACCAUUUGUUUGAGAAUUAGAAUGUGUUAGGAGAGUCCAUAAUCAGAACUGUCUGAGCACAUUUACUGCUGCCUAUGAACGGUUUAGAGGAUGAGGACAGCUGGCAUGGGAUUAAGGUAACCUUGUCCAGAAAGAUUUCAUUCAUUUAGAAAAAAUUUAUUGAAGGCCUACUAUCAUGCACCAAGCACUACUCUAGGUGCUGGGGGAAAAGGACAAAUAAAUCAUGUUCCUUUCCCUCAAGGAGCUCACAAUCUAGUAGCAGGGGACAGAUAUGUAAACAGUUAGUUGCAUAAAGCAUCACAGUGCUGUAGUAGAUGUCUGAGCUAGAGAUAAGAACUUUGGAA